CGUUGUAACGCCGGUUUCCGGACGAUCACCAAAGUUAAACAAUGUCGAUCCUGGUCAGUACCUAGAUGGGUGACCUGCUGGGAAUACCAGGUACUGUAA
This is a non-coding RNA of Acanthosepion pharaonis, 99 nucleotides long. NCBI's taxonomy places the organism in Eukaryota, Metazoa, Mollusca, Cephalopoda, Sepiida, Sepiidae. The record is from the annotation of a GenBank genome assembly.